Molecule: long non-coding RNA, 1478 nt
Filed under: Musa acuminata (dwarf banana)
Lineage: Eukaryota; Viridiplantae; Streptophyta; Magnoliopsida; Zingiberales; Musaceae
Description: long non-coding RNA (MACU_LNC004146)
Source: RNAcentral
GCAGUUCUUUGAGAAUGGCAUUACUAGGAAAAAAGUAAAUAAUGGUAAAACUUGAUAUGUAUAUCUUUAGGUUUAUAUUCACUAUAUUGAGUUAUGUGUAUAUUUAUAUUUUACCUUGUAUUCUGUUAUGUGCGAUAAAUUCAUACUCGCUAUAUUCUUUCUGUUGUGUAUUUUAAUAUUAUGUAAGAUAUUCUGCCAAACUAUUUCAUGUGCAUUCUUUUUUUUUUCCUUUUUCUAUAUUUUUCUUAAGCCUUUUCCUCACUCAUUCCUGUGUCUGAUUCUCUUCUGCUAAUCUGGGGGAUCUAACUGGAAUCUGACUGUUCAUUCUUAAGUAUACUAAAUGGAACCUCCAUGGACAAUUUCGAUACAGGGGCCGAGUUCCAAUAACAAUAUAAUUGGAGAGUCUGCACCACUCUGUUUCUUUGAGUUAAGAACCUGUCCAAUGAAUAUACCAAAGUCAAUUUCAUCCUACCCUCCACAAUAAAAAUUAUGGUUAGCUUCAAAUAAACGCUGACUUGAUUAAGAAUGUGGCAGACCAAAAUAAUGGGAACAAAAUGAUGGGAUCUGGAUCUAGGUUCACUUCUAGUAGAUUUCUAGUCAGGGCCAGAAAGAGAUGAGGGAUGAGAGAAUACCCUUUGGUAUUUCAUCCCAUUGUUGAUGUAAUUCAUGACAUUGUUGAUGACCACUCCAUAGAAGGCCAUGGGCUCCCUUCAACAUCCAAAAAGCACCUAAAUGCCUGCAAAAUCAUUGUAAGCUCCUUCGAAGUCCCAAGCCCAUAUGCUGCCGAGGUAGUGAGAGAGGAACAGUCAAUAUAAGGUAGAAUCUGGUGGAUGUCCACUCUGGUGAGCAGGCCCCUGGGUACAAAUUGUAGGAAUUGGAGUGAGUUUGGAUUUUUGUGUUUUCCUUCUUGCUGUGGAUCAACAUUGUGUCUUUACAUCACUAGCUCCUCAUGCUUCUUAUCCCAUGUCAAAAAGUGAAGUUCUUCCAUCUUCUAUUGAUACUAUUCUUCAUCAGUUCUCAAAAACAAACCAGAAGAUACUCCAUCAAGACCUAAAAUAUGUUUCUAUAUGUGAAAUUAAUCAUGGAUAAUUGUCUCCAAAUAUACUAGUGGAUCUCCAAAUCUUAAUUCCAAAGAGUACAGGUAAACUAAAGAAUUGCAUGUGGAUGAUGUAUUUGUACAAAUUGUGAUGUAUUUAUUGCUCGUUAUGAUAAUGAAUCAUAUAACAAGGACAUUCUCAUUGAGAUGUGUUUGUACGAAAGCAUUCUUAUUCUCAUAUUUAUGAGCAGGAUGUUCUAGUUUAUACUUGUGUAUCCUUUAUCCAUGAUUGUUAAAAAAACUCAGCAUGAGAUUUUACAUUACCCGGUAGCUUCUCUACGAUCAGUUUUGAUUAUUUUGCUCCCUUGUGUUGUCUGGAGUAUCUUACAUUUCUGAAUGAUGUUUGUUGCUUUCUUCUCGAUAAUUAAUCAACCUUUUUGCA